UCACGUUAUAAAAUUCAUAUAAGCACCAUCUAAAUCAAUUAGAUGCUCUUUACAAUUGCACCAUACGGACAACCCUCUUUAAGGCAACUAUCUUGCAAUUUUAGUCUUGGUUUGGUGGGGUUUUUGGUUGUAAAGGUGUUGGGAAGGCUUCUCUCCAGUUUAUCCUAUUCUUUUUCUCCAAGUAAUUAAGGAUUGGCGUGCGAGUUGUCAUAAGCUUGUUGUGGAGUUGCAUUGAUGACUUGAGGUAUAGAUAGACGAGGCGAGGACCCUCCAUCGUAGGCUGCCUCCAGAUAUCAGCUUCAGUUUGUGAUGUCUAUGACAAGGAAAGCUAUAGCUAGUCAAAAGGGUAAAGCAGUGGCCGAUGAGGGCAUCAGUAGAGCACUUGUGGCUAGUGAGGGCUAGAGUGAGGCCCCGAGGAGAAGUGUGAUAGCCUCACAUAGUUCUACGACUCCGCCAGGACCCAAAAGCUGAGGAGGAACUCCUUACCUCUAGUUCCUCCACCCGUUGCUCAUGAUGAGAAUAUAGAUAUGUGGAGUGCAGUACGAUUUGUUGACUAGAUUGGUAGCCGCUCAGGCUCAGCUCCAGGGAUCAUUCGGAUGUGUGGGGCGCUAGCUGUGGCGCAAUUAACAGCAGCUAAAAUAUUAGAGCGCCAGCGCCCCACGCUGCCCUGGAUGCUCAAAAACGUGAACAUGUCCUAUUUCGAUCGGGACUCGGUUAUUUUGACCCCAAGAUGCCCCAACUCAUAUAAAAGCCAACCUAAACCUAUUUUAAAAGGAGGAGGAUGUUUUUGAGAGGAAAACACAAGCACAGAGCCGUCGUGGAGGCCAGAAUUCAUCAAGUUCCAUCUUUCUCUCACCAAACUUAGUAAUUUUUAUGUUUCUUUGUAUGAUUUGUUGUUUGGC
Molecule: long non-coding RNA, 902 nt
Organism: Nicotiana tabacum (common tobacco)
Lineage: Eukaryota; Viridiplantae; Streptophyta; Magnoliopsida; Solanales; Solanaceae
Source: RefSeq, a predicted model, not a curated record